Molecule: long non-coding RNA, 332 nt
Filed under: Olea europaea subsp. europaea
Lineage: Eukaryota; Viridiplantae; Streptophyta; Magnoliopsida; Lamiales; Oleaceae
Source: RNAcentral
GGGGGGGGGAAGAGAAAAGAGGGCUCACAAGUCAUAUGAGCCAGCGGCACUCAGGCGGACACACGGUGGCGGAGACACGGACAGAUGGACAACAACGACUAGAGUUGAGAAAGCCUAAUUGGAUUUGGGAAAAAAGGGAGAUAAAAUGGAGGGAGAGCACGGGAUUUUGGAAUUCAAUUGGAGCAACAUUCAAGCAAGUAUAUUAGCGGGCUCACGGCUAAUUGAACGGUUGAUGGCCAAUUGAAGGUGGUAAUUUGGGAGAGAACAGCACGAACAGAGCAGGAAGAAACGAAGACGGCGGUCAUGUUUCGUAAAAAUGAAUGAAAAACUGG